AACGAACGCUGGCGGCAUGCCUAACACAUGCAAGUCGAACGAGACCUUCGGGUCUAGUGGCGCACGGGUGCGUAACGCGUGGGAACCUGCCCUUAGGUUCGGAAUAACUCCCCGAAAGGGGUGCUAAUACCGGAUAAUGUCUUCGGACCAAAGAUUUAUCGCCUUUGGAUGGGCCCGCGUUGGAUUAGCUAGUUGGUAGGGUAAAAGCCUACCAAGGCGACGAUCCAUAGCUGGUCUGAGAGGAUGAUCAGCCACACUGGGACUGAGACACGGCCCAGACUCCUACGGGAGGCAGCAGUGGGGAAUAUUGGACAAUGGGCGAAAGCCUGAUCCAGCAAUGCCGCGUGAGUGAUGAAGGCCUUAGGGUUGUAAAGCUCUUUUACCCGGGAUGAUAAUGACAGUACCGGGAGAAUAAGCACCGGCUAACCCCGUG
This 433-nucleotide ribosomal RNA is filed under the name uncultured bacterium. RNAcentral's name for it is "partial 16S ribosomal RNA". It matches the Rfam family "Bacterial small subunit ribosomal RNA", at positions 29 to 507 of the family's 1533-position model. The record is from RNAcentral.